Molecule: non-coding RNA, 101 nt
Organism: Armillaria borealis
Lineage: Eukaryota; Fungi; Basidiomycota; Agaricomycetes; Agaricales; Physalacriaceae
Source: the annotation of a GenBank genome assembly
GGCUCAAUGGUCUAGUAGUAUGAUUCGCGCUUCGGGGUAACUAAUCCAGUGUUUACGUAAGCAUCUGUGCGAGGUCCCGGGUUCAACUCCCGGUUGAGCCC